RNAcentral lists this ribosomal RNA (301 nucleotides) under uncultured bacterium. RNAcentral describes it as "partial 16S ribosomal RNA". It matches the Rfam family "Bacterial small subunit ribosomal RNA", at positions 509 to 807 of the family's 1533-position model. The record is from RNAcentral.
CAGCAGCCACGGGAAUACGUAGGUGGCAAGCGUUGUCCGGAAUUAUUGGGCGUAAAGGGCUCGCAGGCGGUUUCUUAAGUCUGAUGUGAAAGCCCCCGGCUCAACCGGGGAGGGUCAUUGGAAACUGGGAAACUUGAGUGCAGAAGAGGAGAGUGGAAUUCCACGUGUAGCGGUGAAAUGCGUAGAGAUGUGGAGGAACACCAGUGGCGAAGGCGACUCUCUGGUCUGUAACUGACGCUGAGGAGCGAGAGCGUGGGGAGCGAACAGGAUUAGAUACCCGAGUAGUCCCUGUCUCUUAUAC